This is a long non-coding RNA of Camellia sinensis, 944 nucleotides long. RefSeq lists it as uncharacterized. The record is from RefSeq and is a predicted model, not a curated record. Lineage: Eukaryota; Viridiplantae; Streptophyta; Magnoliopsida; Ericales; Theaceae.
CAAAAUACAAUUGGUCAAGGAAUCAGAAUAUAAUGGUAAUAACCCAAUGCUAGUUUGAACCAAGGAAAGGAAGAGAACCAAAUAGCUGCUGAGUUGAGCAAUAUUUAAAAAAAAGCAUAAACCAAAAAGGAGGCUAAUGAUGUUAUUAUAUAACAAGAAUAUUGCAUUUGAUUCUUUAUUUCAUUUUAACAAUUGGCAGAAAGAAAUAUAUGUUUGAGCUUUAUCGAGUGCACAUGAGCUAAAUUUACCCACAUGAUGUCGCAGGGGGUUGGACGCAGCAACUCACCAAAUUAUUAUUAUUAUUAUUUUUUGAUAAAUUCAGCAACUCACCAAAUUAUCACUCAAGCUAACCUAAAAAGGGUAAUUACCAAAAGAAGACGAAGAAGAAGAAAAAGGAAGAAGAGGAAGAAGAAACGGUUUACAUCAAAUGCAUCACAUGCCACUUGUUGGAAUAAUUUUUCAGUCUUCUCUUUUAAUGAGUAGAAUAGUUUUAUUCCAUUUCAAAAUACAAGAUAACAUUUGGGGACAACUCACUUGAGGGUUCUCAGGGAUCUUGGAAUAGUACAAUUAACGUGGGCCACCUAACAUAGAGACAUAAACUACAAUUACAAAUGUGUAUUUGGUGACCUAGUAGUAAGGGUAAUGACAGUGUGGCAGCAUAGCUUAGGCAGCAUGCACCAACAUACCCAAACAGUGGGCUAUCAGGUUCUGCAAUAAUUUUUAAACCUAAAUUCCAAAAGAAUCAUUCAACUAAUUCAAAAACUUAAAUUUGAGUUUCCACUAGAUGAUACACAAGUAACUUUAUCACAUUGUGUUAAGUUGAUCAAGCUUUUACAAUUGCACCAGCCCGAGUAACAGCUUCUUAAUACAGAAAUAAAUAGAUCCAAUGAAAAUAGCUCACCUAAACUGAUAUCGAUGAGAUUUAAAAUUAGGAGAUGCUUGCA